Molecule: ribosomal RNA, 382 nt
Filed under: uncultured eukaryote
Lineage: Eukaryota
Description: partial 18S ribosomal RNA
Rfam family: Eukaryotic small subunit ribosomal RNA
Source: RNAcentral
UGUAAGCGUAUACCAAAGUUGUUGCAGUUAAAACGCUCGUAGUCGGACUUUGGCAGUUCCGGAUGUGUGCACGUCGUGUGCGCACUUCGCGGGGAUUGCUUUUGUGGUCUUGCGUAGGAUGAGGCACUUUUAUUAGUGAACGUCCUCACGCAACCACUUUUUACUGUGAGAAAAUCAGAGCGCUCAAAGCAGGCAUUUGCCGUGAAUGUAUUAGCAUGGAAUAAUAGAAUAGGACUUGGUUCUAUUUUGUUGGUUUGUUGGGACUGAGUAAUGAUUAAGAGGGACAGUUGGGGGCAUUUGUAUUUCGGUGCUAGAGGUGAAAUUCUUAGAUUACCGAAAGACAAACUGCUGCGAAAGCGUCUGCCAAGGAUGUUUUCAUUGA